CCUACGGGUGGCAGCAGUGGGGAAUAUUGGGCAAUGGAGGAAAGUCUGACCCAGCAACGCCGCGUGAAGGAUGAAGGUUUUCGGAUUGGAAACUUCUGUCGCGAGGGAUGAAGAAUGACGGUACCUCGUAAGAAAGCCCCGGCAAACUACGUGCCAGAAGCCGCGGUAAUACGUAGGGUGCGAGGGUGGUCCGGAAGGACGGGGCGUAAAGGGAGUGUAGGGGGCCUAUUAAGGUAUGUGUGAAAGCCCGCGGCUCAACCGCGGAAUUGCACGUGAAACUGGUAAGCUGGAGUGCAGGAGAGGUAAGUGGAAUGCCCGGUGUAGCGGUGGAAUGCGUAGAUAUCGGGAGGAACACCAGCGGCGAAGGCGACUUACUGGACUGUAACUGACGCUGAGGCUCGAAAGCGUGGGGAGCAAACAGGAUUAGAUACCCGGGUAGUC
Molecule: ribosomal RNA, 441 nt
Filed under: uncultured bacterium
Lineage: Bacteria
Description: partial 16S ribosomal RNA
Rfam family: Bacterial small subunit ribosomal RNA
Source: RNAcentral